CGCUGGCGGCAGCCUCAUACAUGCAAGUCGAGCGAGAACGUUACUUCGGUAGCUAGUAAAGCGGCGGACGGGUGAGUAACGCGUAGGAAUCUACCUUUCAGCGGGGGAUAGCUCGGGGAAACCCGAAUUAAUACCGCAUACACCCUAAGGGGGAAAGAGGGCCUAUCCUUGGAAGCUCUCGCUGUUAGAUGAGCCUGCGUGAGAUUAGUUUGUUGGUGGGGUAAUGGCCUACCAAGACUACGAUCUCUAGCUGGUCUGAGAGGACGAUCAGCCACACUGGGACUGAGACACGGCCCAGACUCCUACGGGAGGCAGCAGUAGGGAAUAUUGGACAAUGGGGGCAACCCUGAUCCAGCUAUGCCGCGUGUGUGAAGAAGGCUCUAGGGUUGUAAAGCACUUUAGGUAAGGACGAAAAGAAUAUAGUUAAUACCUAUAUUCCGUGACUUAACUUACAGAAUAAGGACCGGCUAACUCCGUGCCAGCAGCCGCGGUAAUACGGAGGGUCCAAGCGUUAAUCGGAAUUACUGGGCGUAAAGCGCGCGUAGGCGGUUUGUCAAGUUGGAUGUGAAAUCCCUGGGCUCAACCUAGGAACUGCAUUCAAAACUUAUAGACUAGAGUACGAUAGAGGAGAGUAGAAUUCCUGGUGUAGCGGUGAAAUGCGUAGAUAUCAGGAGGAAUACCAAUGGCGAAGGCAACUCUCUGGAUCGACACUGACGCUGAGGUGCGAAAGCGUGGGUAGCAAACAGGAUUAGAUACCCUGGUAGUCCACGCCGUAAACGAUGAGAACUAGCCGUUGGAUCUUAGAUUCAGUGGUACAGCUAACGCAUUAAGUUCUCCGCCUGGG
RNAcentral lists this ribosomal RNA (844 nucleotides) under uncultured Gammaproteobacteria bacterium. RNAcentral describes it as "bacterial SSU rRNA". It matches the Rfam family "Bacterial small subunit ribosomal RNA", at positions 34 to 877 of the family's 1533-position model. The record is from RNAcentral. Lineage: Bacteria; Pseudomonadati; Pseudomonadota; Gammaproteobacteria.